This 465-nucleotide ribosomal RNA is filed under the name uncultured bacterium. RNAcentral's name for it is "partial 16S ribosomal RNA". It matches the Rfam family "Bacterial small subunit ribosomal RNA", at positions 338 to 795 of the family's 1533-position model. The record is from RNAcentral.
CCUACGGGAGGCAGCAGUGGGGAAUGUUGCGCAAUGGGCGAAAGAGUGACGCAGCGACGCCGCGUGAAUGACGAAGGCCUUCGGGUCGUAAAGUUCUGUCGACAGGGAAGAAAAUGCCUAUAAGUAACUGUGUAUGUAUUGACGGUACCUGAAUAAGCAGCCCCGGCUAACUCCGUGCCAGCAGCCGCGGUAAUACGGAGGGGGCGAGCGUUGUUCGUAGUGACUGGGCGUAAAGCGCACGUAGGCGGUUUUGUAAGUCAUUAGUCAAAGACUACGGCUCAACUUUAGUAAGGCUUGCUAUACUCUAAUACUAGAGUAUCAGAGAGGAUUGUAGAAUUCCUGGUGUAGCGGUGAAAUGCGUAGAUAUCAGGAGGAAUACCGUUAGCGAAGGCGGCAAUCUGGCUGGAAACUGACGCUGAGGUGCGAAAGCGUGGGUAGCAAACAGGAUUAGAUACCCGAGUAGUC